Molecule: ribosomal RNA, 408 nt
Filed under: uncultured bacterium
Lineage: Bacteria
Description: partial 16S ribosomal RNA
Rfam family: Bacterial small subunit ribosomal RNA
Source: RNAcentral
GACGAACGCUGGCGGCGUGCUUAACACAUGCAAGUCGAACGAAGUGGCGGACGGGUGAGUGACGCGUAAUCAACCUGCCCUUCAGAGGGGGACAACAGUUGGAAACGACUCCUAAUACCGCAUACUGAUGGACGGGCUUGCGUCUGAUUAGCUAGUUGGGGGGGGAACGACCCACCAAGGCGAUGAUCAGGAGCCGGUCGGAGAGGAUGAACUGCCACAUUGGGAGUGAGACACGGCCCAGACUCCUACGGGAGGCAGCAGUGGGGAAUCUUGCGCAAUGGGCGAAAGUCUGACGGAGCAACGCCGCGUGAGUGAUGACGGCCUUCGGGUUGUAAAGGUCUGUUAAUCGGGACGCGGUACCGGAAUAGAAAGCAACGGCUAACUACGUGCCAGCCGCCGCGGUAAUAC